CAGAGAAAGAAAGGAUUUUAAAGGCUGGUGGUUUUAUACAUGCAGGACGUGUCAAUGGCAGUUUGAAUCUUUCAAGAGCUAUAGGGGACAUGGAAUUCAGGCAGAAUACAGUUUUGCCUGCUGAAAAGUAAAUUGUAUCCGCAAAUCCAGAUAUAAACACCGUUGAGCUCUGUGAAGAUGAUGAGUUUCUUGUGCUGCCAUGUGAUGGAAUCUGGUAUAUUUAUCUAAUGCUUUUUCCAUUUAGAUUCUAAUAUAAUUAGAAUUUAGUAUGCCUCACUUCAAAACUUGAUUGGUUAUACCCUUCGCAGUUCACUCUGACAAGAUCUCGAUCCUGAAUUUAAUAUCUAAUGCCUUUUCAUUUUCUUUUAUCAGGGAUUGUAUGUCAAGUCAGAUGGUAGUAGACUUUAUUCAUGAACGACUACAUUCUGAAAACAAGCUUUCCGUUAUUUGUCAGAGGGUACUCGACAGAUGCUUAGCACCAUCAACAGCCAAUGGCGAGGGUUGCGACAACAUGACCAUGAUCUUAGUGCAGUUCAAGAAACCAAUCAAGGCUGCCUCACCUGAAGAGCAGCAAUCCUCCCAUUUCAAAUCAGUUAACACUGAGUCGACGCCAGAGGUAAAUCGAGAAUAGUUGCAACUGUUGAUGGGAGGUACCUAAUCCUCUUUUCCAAUAAGAUUUGAGAACCCAUUUCUCAAAUAUAAAAUAUUGGAAUAUGCAUUUACAGAUGGCUUAGAGCAGGAUUGAAUUGAUGAGAUGAAAACAAUACAUAUAUGUUAAUAUGCUUUGUUUCCUGUUCUUAAAAAUAUACAAUCAUGUAAUUGGGGGUGUGGUGUGUCACAGCAAUACCACCAUGACAAUUUUAGUAAUAACAUUU
Hibiscus syriacus is the source of this 875-nucleotide long non-coding RNA. RefSeq lists it as uncharacterized. The record is from RefSeq and is a predicted model, not a curated record. NCBI's taxonomy places the organism in Eukaryota, Viridiplantae, Streptophyta, Magnoliopsida, Malvales, Malvaceae. The transcript has 4 exons.